CCUACGGGGGCCAGCAGUAGGGAAUCUUCCACAAUGGACGAAAGUCUGAUGGAGCAACGCCGCGUGUGUGAUGAAGGGUUUCGGCUCGUAAAACACUGUUGUAAGAGAAGAAUGACAUUGAGAGUAACUGUUCAGUGUGUGACGGUAUCUUACCAGAAAGGAACGGCUAAAUACGUGCCAGCAGCUGCGGUAAUACGUAUGAUCCCAGCGUUAUCCGGAUUUAUUGGGCGUAAUGCGAGCGCAGACGGUUAGUUAAGUCCGAAUUGAAUGCCCACAGCUAAACUGUGAAAGGGCUUUGAAAAGUGGGUGACUUGAGUGCAGUAGAGGAGGGUGGAACUCCAGUUGUAGCGGUAAAAUGCGAAGAUAUAUGGAAGAACACCAGUGGCGAAGGCGGCUCUCUGGACUGUAACUGACGUUGAGGCUCGAAAGUGUGGGUAGCAAACAGGAUUGGAUACCCCGGUAGUC
This 465-nucleotide ribosomal RNA is filed under the name uncultured Weissella sp. RNAcentral's name for it is "bacterial SSU rRNA". It matches the Rfam family "Bacterial small subunit ribosomal RNA", at positions 338 to 795 of the family's 1533-position model. Lineage: Bacteria; Bacillati; Bacillota; Bacilli; Lactobacillales; Lactobacillaceae. The record is from RNAcentral.